CUCCUGUCUCCUAUGAAAAACCCUAAUGGCACAGAUAUGUCACCUCAUGGAUUUAGCCAUCAUACAGCAAAUGAAGAGGCAGUGCUGUUUUUUGGCUCUCAGCAAAACUCCAUCUUCUUUUCCUCUUUUUGUUUUCACUGAUUUUUCUGACAUCAACCACUCCCAUCCUGUCUGUCUAUGCUACUUAAUCUCAGGUCUGUGCGCCUAACCCAUCCCUUGCCCCAGGCUUCUGUACCUGUGGAUCAGACUCCCUGCCAAGCUCCCUCACCAUUGGGUUCUACCUAGGCCCUGAAUUCAGCAUGGCCAGGACUGACCUAUUCAGCUUUCACUAAAAAUCUUUCAUCUAUGUUUCUUACCUCCAGCUAGAACCCACCAGCUCUCCACUGUGAAAGUCAGAUGUCCUACCCUGAGUUUCUUGAAGGAUCUGUCAAGCUCUCUUUUGCCUCUAGGCGUUUCUACAAAUAUGCUGUUCCCUGAAAUGCUCUCUGAGAAAAGUCAGACACGUCAUUUAUUUCAGGGCUCUGGAAAGUUUCUCUAAUAGGAAUCUUCUCUGAAGUCUUCUAUAGCCUCCUGUGCUUGUCCAUAUUACAGAAGAUCUCAAACCUCAUAGCAACACUCAUUCACGUGCUUCUGUCCCUACUGACUUCAGGGCUGUACUCGCCAAUGUCUCCAGGAGCUUAGCACUGACGACGAUGUUUUGAAUCAAUACGGUUAUUGUAAACAUUGGAGAAGUCAUCCCAAGUUUCGCUUUAGCCUGUGAUAACCACCUGGCUCGGGCGAAUGCCCACAAAGACGGCGGUCCCAUUGGUUCUUCUCACAAUGCACCCACUCCGUGUAGAUGACAUUUAUUUAUGUACAUCUGGACCACCUUGCUGAUUUGCUGACCUUUGUAGUGUCUUCCAACCACCUGGACCUCUUUAUCCUUGAGGAUGGGCAUGGAGUGGACACUGUGCUUCUGCUUCAGCUCCUUGCUGGGAUAUCAUGCUGGGAGAGCAGGGACGGCAAGAUGUUCCUGUGCACAUGUGAGGGGCCAGUGAAGUGACAUUUGCAGUUUUGGCUGUGGUCUAAGGUGAUGAAGGGAUUGAACUUUAUGCUCACCAUCUGGCUUCGGCCGGCCUAGUGGUGUCUGUCUUUUAUUUAAGAAAGUUUUUGGCUAUUAUUACUUUGAAUAUUUCUUUUGCACUGUUCUCCAUUCCCUCUUCAACUUUUCCUGUUAAUCAUAUGUUUUGUUAUGCCUUUUAAGAUUGCUCCACUUUUAUGUGCUAUUCUGUUCUUUUUUAAAGUUUUUUUUUCUAUUUUCCUUUCAAUGUGGGAAAUUUCUAUUGAUAUAUUUUCAAGCUCACUGAUUUCUCCUCAGAUAUGUGAAGUCUACUGAUGAGCCCAUCAAAGACAGUGUUUAUUUCUGCUAUGGUAUUUUCAGUUUCUAGCAUUUUGUUUUGUUUCCUUAUUCACAUUUCCAUCUGUCUGCUUACAUUACUGUUGCAUGUCACCCACUUUUUCUAGUAGAACCCUUAACAGGUUGAGCACGGUAAUUGUAAAUUCCAAGCCAGAUAAUCCCCAAAUCUCUGCCAUAUCUGAGUUUGGUUUUGAUAUUUUCUGUUUGUCUCGUUACACUGUUUUUUGAGGAUACCUUGCAUUUCUUUGUUGAACACUGGAGGACAUUUAGAUAGUGAAAAGAGCUGAGGUAAAUAGACAUGUAACAGAUGGUCUUACAUUUAUCUGAGUGGUAAUUAGAUUGUUUUAUUGUUUGGUAUAAUUGUAGGUGGCAGAGACUAAAAUUUCUUUUAGCAUCUUUUACCCCUCAUUUUUGUGUGUGGGUUUCCCUAGAUAUUCCUCCUUGGGAAGUGUCUAAGUCUUGCAGUUCUUUAAGUUGUAUUCUUCUGCCAUUACACAGGAGCUCUGUUAAAGUGGUGGUAAUGUGGGUGGGUGGGUAGAAGGGAACAUCGUAUAAUCCUGUGUUAGAUCUCACUAUUUCAGUGAGAUGUGUUCCAGGGCUGUGACCUCACAAGCACUCUCAGCUUCUACUCCCCAAUGUCAACCUCCAGUCUUCCCUGAGAAGAGGCAAACAGGCUAGUUGAGGCUGGAGUUGGACAUUUUUCUUCUCCAUGUUGAAAGCAAAUUGGGCUGGCAUUGGAUAGUUUUUUGUUUUUUUUUUUCUCGAGGUCAGGCACGUUCUGAUAAAAUAUUAAUUUAAAAUAGUAUUUCAAAAUGGUUAGUUUUCCUGCCACCCUGCCAGAAGCAGGAAGGAAUUUUUCUGCAGCCUUCACCCUAAGUCUCUAGUGGAAUCCCUGAAGGUAAAACUCAGUAAGUUGUGGGUGCCUCUCCCUCCAAAGCCUGAGCCCCGGGAGUUUGAAUCUCAGCUAGUUAACAGCUCAGCCUCCAUCACUUAGUCAAUUACAGUUUAAAUGUUUCUAGCAGUUGCUGGCUCUAACUGUGUCUUCUCCUUCCAGUUAAUUUUGAUUCUCUAUGUUCACCUGUCUCCCACCCCGUGGUUUUCAGGGAGGUAGUUUGUCCUGUGACCCCGAUUCUCUGAUGGGUCUAAGAAGAGUUGUUCAUUUUCAGUUAGUUUGGCUUUUUUCCUGUUGUGAGAAUGGGGGAUGAUGACUUUCAUGGUUUUACAACUUAGAAUGGAAACUGUAAGCCUGUUAAUGUACUUUGAUGUAAAAUUUUAAGUUAAACUGUGAUGAUUUUUUCAGAAAAUGAUAUGUCAUCCAUAUGUACUCUUUGGUGAAGUGUCUGUUAAAACCAUUUGCCCUCUUUUAGUGGGCGGUUUUUUUUCUUAGUAUUGAAUUUUCAUGAUUUUUUAUAUUCUAAUUAAGCCUUUUAUUACAUACAAUAUUAGCAAAUCCCAUUUCCCAUCCCGAGGCUUUUCCUUUCACUCUCUUAACAGUUUUGUCGAAAGAGCAGAAUUCUUACUUUUGGUGUCAUAUAUAAGAAAUAGUUGCCUGAAAAGGUCAAAACAAUAUUCUCCUGUGUUUUAUUAUGGAAGAAUUAUGGUUUUAUGGUUUGCAGUUAAACUUAUGAUUCCUUUAAGUUAUAAUUUUUAUAGAGUACAAAGAACUGAAGUUAAUAUUUUUGUGUAUGGAUAUCCAGCAUCAUUUGUAGAAAAGGCCUUCUUUUCUCUAAUAGAUUGCCUUUCUAUCUUUAUCAAAAACCAGUUGUCCAUGUAUCUUUUGGUCUAUUUCUGGACUUUCUCUUCUGUUCCAUUGGUUUAUUUUGUUUAUGUUUACACGAAUACAACACUGACUUGAUUAACUUAUCCUUAUAACAGAUCUCAAAAUCACGUUAUGUUCAGUUCGCGUACUUU
RNAcentral lists this long non-coding RNA (3307 nucleotides) under Homo sapiens (human). Its description in RNAcentral is "HSALNT0132312". Lineage: Eukaryota; Metazoa; Chordata; Mammalia; Primates; Hominidae. The record is from RNAcentral.